This 245-nucleotide ribosomal RNA is filed under the name uncultured bacterium. RNAcentral describes it as "partial small subunit ribosomal RNA". It matches the Rfam family "Bacterial small subunit ribosomal RNA", at positions 26 to 285 of the family's 1533-position model. The record is from RNAcentral.
AGAAUCAACGCUGGCGGCGUGCCUAACACAUGCAAGUCGAACGAGAAAGUGGAGCAAUCCAUGAGUAAAGUGGCGCACGGGUGAGUAACACGUGACUAACCUACCUUUUAGUGGGGGAUAACCUAGGGAAACCUGGGCUAAUACCGCAUAACACUUACGAGUCAAAGCAGCAAUGCGCUGAAAGAGGGGGCCGCGGCCGAUUAGCUAGUUGGCGGGGUAAUGGCCCACCAAGGCAGUGAUCGGUA